RNAcentral lists this long non-coding RNA (345 nucleotides) under Nicotiana benthamiana. Its description in RNAcentral is "long non-coding RNA (NBEN_LNC003552)". The record is from RNAcentral. Lineage: Eukaryota; Viridiplantae; Streptophyta; Magnoliopsida; Solanales; Solanaceae.
GGUAGAUGGGAGGCCAAACACCACGGUACAUGUUUUGUCAUUUAUUUCCUUCAAUAUUUACUUUCUUUUACCUAUAUUAACUCUGUUAUCGCAGGUAUUGGAGAAUUUUCUGAGGUGAGAUCAUGCUCUUUGAAGAGGAUUAAAGAUCGUCGGAUUCGGUGCCGAGGAAUACUAACGAAUGGAAGGAAUAUUUGAAUGACAAAGAUGCACAUAGCAAGGCAAGACCAGCUCGGAGGUUUAAAAUGGAUGCCUCGGCUGAGAUUGCAGCAUCCGAGGAUAGAAAAUGGCUCCUCCUUUGCGGUCGUAUUCUUUUCUCAUCGAAGGUACUUUAAGGGAUACAUGUGU